UACGAAGGGGACUAGCGUUGUUCGGAAUUACUGGGCGUAAAGCGCGCGUAGGCGGAUCGCUAAGUCAGGGGUGAAAUCCCAGGGCUCAACCCUGGAACUGCCUUUGAUACUGACGAUCUGGAGAUCGGGAGAGGUUGGUGGAGUUCCGAGUGUAGAGGUGAAAUUCGUAGAUAUCGGAGGAACACCAGAAGCGAAGGCGGCCAACUGGCCCGAUACUGGACCGGCUGAGG
Molecule: ribosomal RNA, 230 nt
Filed under: uncultured bacterium
Lineage: Bacteria
Description: partial 16S ribosomal RNA
Rfam family: Bacterial small subunit ribosomal RNA
Source: RNAcentral